GAUCAUGGCUCAGAUUGAACGCUGGCGGCAUGCUUUACACAUGCAAGUCGAACGGUAACAGGCCUUCGGGUGCUGACGAGUGGCGAACGGGUGAGUAAUGCAUCGGAACGUGCCCAAUCGGUGGGGGAUAACGUAGCGAAAGUUACGCUAAUACCGCAUAAGCCCUGAGGGGGAAAGCAGGGGAUCGCAAGACCUUGCGCGAAUGGAGCGGCCGAUGUCAGAUUAGCUAGUUGGUGGGGUAAAGGCCUACCAAGGCGACGAUCCGUAGCUGGUCUGAGAGGAUGAUCAGCCACACUGGGACUGAGACACGGCCCAGACUCCUACGGGAGGCAGCAGUGGGGAAUAUUGGACAAUGGGCGAAAGCCUGAUCCAGCCAUGCCGCGUGAGUGACGAAGGCCUUAGGGUUGUAAAGCUCUUUUGGCGGGGACGAUAAUGACGGUACCCGCAGAAUAAGCCCCGGCUAACUUCGUG
RNAcentral lists this ribosomal RNA (471 nucleotides) under uncultured bacterium. RNAcentral's name for it is "bacterial SSU rRNA". It matches the Rfam family "Bacterial small subunit ribosomal RNA", at positions 15 to 507 of the family's 1533-position model. The record is from RNAcentral.